GGGUUGUGAGGUUAAGCGACUAAGCGUACACGGUGGAUGCCCUGGCAGUCAGAGGCGAUGAAGGGCGUGCUAAUCUGCGAUAAGCGCCGGUAAGGUGAUAUGAACCGUUAUAACCGGCGAUACCCGAAUGGGGAAACCCAGUGUGACUCGUCACACUAUCAUUAACUGAAUCCAUAG
RNAcentral lists this ribosomal RNA (177 nucleotides) under Salmonella enterica subsp. enterica serovar Enteritidis. RNAcentral's name for it is "partial 23S ribosomal RNA". It matches the Rfam family "Bacterial large subunit ribosomal RNA", at positions 1 to 169 of the family's 2925-position model. Lineage: Bacteria; Pseudomonadati; Pseudomonadota; Gammaproteobacteria; Enterobacterales; Enterobacteriaceae. The record is from RNAcentral. RNAcentral also lists the same sequence under 1 other name.